CUCAUUAAUAUCUGGGUUACUUUGCUCGUCUCUAUUUAAUAAAUAAUGAAAAAACAUGAGACCUACCACUAGAAAAGCUCUCAGUGGUUGCAUGUAAUUGACAGGAAGCUUACUGAUCCUAAACACACACAUUUAAUUAUUCUCUGUCAUCCUGUCUUGCCAAGUAAAAGAUCAGGAGAAGUGGAGGUCUUCUGUGUGAUCACAGAAGGCUCAGAAGAGAGAACGCAGCAGUCAGCUGGUGGCUCAGCGCUGUGACACCUAAAGGUUUGCUCAAGCACUGCGUGCCGCUGGCCUUGGGCCCGUUUAUGCCCCUCCUCACUAAGGCGGCUGAAGGCACGUGUGGAAGCCACCAGGUAGCAGCACUCCAUCCGCGCCCAACUGUGCGAAGCUUGCAGGUGCAAUGCGAGCACCGCACGGCCAUUGGCUACUGAGCUGCGCUGCGCGCGGUGAUUAGCAAGCUGAAGCGAGCAGUGGGACGGGCUGCCCUUCCCUUCGAGGCUGACCCUUCAGUCGAAGGAGGAAGCAGAAUUUCUGGCUGGCAGCGGCCCCGGGCUUCAGGUAGAGGAAGACAGUGAGAACUAUUGCUCCUUCAUUAAGAGAAUGUCUGGAUAAUGAUCUGUUCAAGGAGAGAACAGAACAAGUUUUGGAGGAAUGCUGAAGCCCUCUGGACUAUUCCAAAGACUUCACAGAAAAGACUAGUCGCAACAACCAAUACUUUCCAAUCUUGUAAGGGAAACUGGCUGCAGUUUGUUGGAACUGGGAAGUAAGCUGUCUGUAGAAGAAGUGAUGUGGAGUUUCUCAGCUGUUAAUGAUGGUGAAAAUACCCAAAGGAAAAAAAAAAAAAAAAAAAAAAGGUAGGAUUUCUCUUUUUGUUGUAUAAUUGCCAAUCAAGGAUAAAAUUUCCCCUUUUCUUUUUGAUAGAAAUAAAUAAUA
This is a long non-coding RNA of Phasianus colchicus (ring-necked pheasant), 933 nucleotides long. Lineage: Eukaryota; Metazoa; Chordata; Aves; Galliformes; Phasianidae. The record is from Ensembl.